AGGUUCUUAAUCAAUUAUUUCACCAAAUAAUUUUUAACUGUUAAUUUUGCCCCAGACACCUCUUCAGCAGGUGUGUGGCAUCUUUACUGAAAGUCUUGGUUAGGUCCAACUAUUAAUAUAUCAGAAUUUAGUGCAUCUAACAAAUGAAUGACCAAGUUCGAGUGUAGCUUGGCCAACCAAACCAUCGUUAGCAAGAUACAACUAAAUCAACAUAUUAUGAAUGAUAAUUUCGACAGCCAAGAUGAGCACCAGAUGUGUGGAACCUUCAAUGAUUAUCUAAACUGUUGGACCUAUUAUUAUCUAACUUAAUGGGAGGCUAUAAUCUAGUCAUCACCAUAACUAUUUUAUUUUGAAGGACCUAAUAAUUUUAGAAGAUUUAAUUAGAUGAAAUGAAAGAUGAGAAAAGACUUGACCAAUUAUGUUAGGAAAUAUGCCUCA
Molecule: long non-coding RNA, 438 nt
Filed under: Elaeis guineensis (African oil palm)
Lineage: Eukaryota; Viridiplantae; Streptophyta; Magnoliopsida; Arecales; Arecaceae
Description: long non-coding RNA (EGUI_LNC067949)
Source: RNAcentral